CAGUAGCCGCGGUAAUACGAAGGGUGCAAGCGUUAAUCGGAAUUACUGGGCGUAAAGCGCACGCAGGCGGUUUGUUAAGUCAGAUGUGAAAUCCCCGAGCUUAACUUGGGAACUGCAUUUGAAACUGGCAAGCUAGAGUCUUGUAGAGGGGGGUAGAAUUCCAGGUGUAGCGGUGAAAUGCGUAGAGAUCUGGAGGAAUACCGGUGGCGAAGGCGGCCCCCUGGACAAAGACUGACGCUCAGGUGCGAAAGCGUGGGGAGCAAACAGGAUUAGAUACCCCAGUAGUCCCUGUCUCUUAUAC
RNAcentral lists this ribosomal RNA (301 nucleotides) under uncultured bacterium. RNAcentral describes it as "partial 16S ribosomal RNA". It matches the Rfam family "Bacterial small subunit ribosomal RNA", at positions 509 to 807 of the family's 1533-position model. The record is from RNAcentral.